Molecule: long non-coding RNA, 467 nt
Filed under: Elaeis guineensis (African oil palm)
Lineage: Eukaryota; Viridiplantae; Streptophyta; Magnoliopsida; Arecales; Arecaceae
Description: long non-coding RNA (EGUI_LNC002072)
Source: RNAcentral
ACCGCCACGGUGACUUGCAAGCAACUCACUGCACUUAGGCACUGGAUUACCUGAAUUUUUAAUUCAGUGACGGAAGGCUGCUGGGUGUAGUCAAGUACUUGACUUGUCGGUGCGUGUGUCAAGAUGGGAUUGACCACUCCAGUUUAGGAGCUGUGUACAAUCAUGUUUCAAUUUAGCAAAACCUUGGCCAGGGUAGUCCUUGUGAGGAGUCACAGGACUGUUUGAGUUGAGCACGAUUCGGAUGAUCCGAUCAGGGUUGACAGUUUAACCCUGAGUCAUCCUAAACACAGGGGUCAAAAGGAUGAAUUAUACAGUAACCAUAUUCAUGUAGGUUCUGAGUGUUGCAAUUGCGACUCUUCGAUCAAGACGUAUGGCUUCGUUAAGAACGGAGAAGAGCCAUGCAUUUAUAAGUGGGCUAAUGGUCCAGUAGUAGUAUUUCUUGUAUUAUAUGUGGAUGAUAUUCUCUU